RNAcentral lists this unclassified non-coding RNA (307 nucleotides) under plant metagenome. RNAcentral's name for it is "partial contains 5.8S ribosomal RNA, internal transcribed spacer 2, and large subunit ribosomal RNA". The stretch from base 1 to 105 matches the Rfam family "5.8S ribosomal RNA", at positions 50 to 154 of the family's 154-position model. The record is from RNAcentral.
GAAAUGCGAUAAGUAGUGUGAAUUGCAGAAUUCAGUGAAUCAUCGAAUCUUUGAACGCACAUUGCGCCCCUCGGCAUUCCGUGGGGCAUGCCUGUUCGAGCGUCAUCUACACCCUCAAGCUCUGCUUGGUGUUGGGCGUCUGUCCCGCCUCCGCGCGCGGACUCGCCCCAAAUGCAUUGGCAGCGGUUCCUUGCCCCCCUCUUUGCGCAACACAUUGCCAUUCGAGGCGGCGGCGGCCCGCGUCCAACAAGCUCAACCCCCCCGUCUUUGACCUCGGAUCAGGUAGGGAUACCCGCUGAACUUAAGC